GGGAGAAGGAGGCCCGUCCUGACAGGGUCAGGGAGGGGGGUGCCAGUGCUGGGGCCGUGCAGCCCAGCAGCUGCAGCAGUGGUGUGGCUGGGGAGGACCUUUCCUUUGGGCCUCGAUGGCAUCCGUGAUGGAGGGCUGGGGCCUCUGGAUUGGGAGGGGGGUGCCGGGUAGUCUGGCGGUGGGCCCUCGCCGGUGCCACGGGGGUCCUCGUCCAGCCCCUGCCCCUCCUGGAGAGGUUCCUGUUUCCCUUUCUCUCGCAGGCAGACCUCUUUCAGGGAAAGGCAGGAGGAGGCACAGCAGUGCCGGAGCUUUUCAAGACGGACCAGUGGUCAGAGCUGACAAAAGCUCUGCAGGAGCAAGUUGAGGUCAAGAAGCUGCUCAGGAACAAGCUCCAGCACCUCCAGGAGAGACAGGAAUGCCUGCGAGAGCCAAGAGCUUUCAGGGGGAAGAAGGUGCAGGCAGAACCACCAGAGGAGUCGCUGCUGCAGGAGAUGGUGGCCGUGCAGCUGGUAGGACAGACAAGCCCGCUGUGGGCCUUGGGGAGGGAAGGGUCUGCUCUGUGCCCGAGGAACAUGAGGGCACUGGUCUCAGCGGGGACGAGGGAGGGGCUCUGAGCCCCCAAACCUCGGCCCCCUCGCACAC
Molecule: long non-coding RNA, 642 nt
Organism: Grus americana (Whooping crane)
Lineage: Eukaryota; Metazoa; Chordata; Aves; Gruiformes; Gruidae
Exons: 4
Source: RefSeq, a predicted model, not a curated record